RNAcentral lists this ribosomal RNA (372 nucleotides) under uncultured organism. RNAcentral describes it as "partial 16S ribosomal RNA". It matches the Rfam family "Bacterial small subunit ribosomal RNA", at positions 527 to 896 of the family's 1533-position model. The record is from RNAcentral.
AGAGGGUGCAAGCGUUAAUCGGAAUUACUGGGCGUAAAGGGCACGUAGGUGGAUAAUUAAGUUGGCUGUGAAAUUCCCGGGCUUAACCUGGGCAGGUCAGCCAAAACUGGUUAUCUAGAGUACAGUAGAGGGAAGUGGAAUUUCCGGUGUAGCGGUGAAAUGCGUAGAUAUCGGAAGGAACAUCAGUGGCGAAGGCGACUUUCUGGACUGAUACUGACACUGAGGUGCGAAAGCGUGGGGAGCGAACAGGGAUUAGAUACCCUGGUAGUCCACGCCGUAAACGAUGAGAACUAGCUGUUGGUGAUAUAAAAACUCAUUAGUGGCGCAGCUAACGCGUUAAGUUCUCCGCCUGGGAGUACGGCCGCAAGGUUA